This 67-nucleotide transfer RNA is filed under the name Marmota monax (woodchuck). Its description in RNAcentral is "tRNA.Ala". The record is from RNAcentral. Lineage: Eukaryota; Metazoa; Chordata; Mammalia; Rodentia; Sciuridae.
GGAUAUAGCUCAGUUGGUAGAGUGCUUGCUUUGCAUGCACAAGGCCCUGGGUUCAAUCUCAGCACCA